Molecule: ribosomal RNA, 253 nt
Filed under: uncultured bacterium
Lineage: Bacteria
Description: partial 16S ribosomal RNA
Rfam family: Bacterial small subunit ribosomal RNA
Source: RNAcentral
UACAGAGGUCCCAAGCGUUGUUCGGAUUCAUUGGGCGUAAAGGGUGCGUAGGUGGCGCGCUAAGUCAGGUGUGAAAUUUCGGAGCUUAACUUCGAAACUGCAUUUGAUACUGGUGUGCUUGAGGACUGGAGAGGAGACUGGAAUUUACGGUGUAGCAGUGAAAUGCGUAGAGAUCGUAAGGAAGACCAGUGGCGAAGGCGGGUCUCUGGACAGUUCCUGACACUGAGGCACGAAGGCCAGGGGAGCAAACGGG